AUAUCAAUAAGCGGAGGAAAAGAAACUAACAAGGAUUGGCCUAGUAACGGCGAGUGAAGCGCCAAUAGCCCAACUUGAAAAUCUCCCUUUGGAGAAUUGUAGUCUAGAGAAGCGCCCUCUGCGGCGGCCGGGACCUAAGUUCGCUGGAAGGCGGCGUCAGAGAGGGUGAUAACCCCGUCGGUCCUAGGCUUAGCUGCUCCACGAGGUGCUUUCCAAGAGUCGCAUUGUUUGGGAAUGCAGUGCAAAAUGGGAGGUAAAUCCCUUCUAAGGCUAAAUACUGACGAGAGACCGAUAGCGCACAAGUA
This 305-nucleotide ribosomal RNA is filed under the name uncultured Chlamydomonadales. RNAcentral's name for it is "partial large subunit ribosomal RNA". It matches the Rfam family "Eukaryotic large subunit ribosomal RNA", at positions 40 to 350 of the family's 3401-position model. Lineage: Eukaryota; Viridiplantae; Chlorophyta; Chlorophyceae; Chlamydomonadales. The record is from RNAcentral.